UGUAACGAUGGAGGCAAAAGGAGGUGCAGAUCCUUCAGGUCUAGAUAUGAUAGAAACUCGGCCGUCAUCACGAUGUCCUGGAAUAAUUAAAGACAGCUCCCCUUCUGAUGGAUUACACGGUGAUUCCUCACUUGAGCUUCGUCCCAACAAGGAGCCUGAAAUCUCAGAGUCUGAAGUUAUCGUCGCUGUGAAACCACGCCGGCAGAUAAUCUUCAUCUGAUCCACCUGAGAUGGUGUUUAUCAUCUCUGCAGAAUCCGUGGGCCGCUGAUUCAACCCACUGAUUCAUGCACAUAUAAUCUGUGGAGAAAUAACGGAAGUGAAGAGCAAAGAAGAACAAAAAUACCGUGAAACUUCACUUAAUAGCUUCACUGACUGAAGUCAACAGGCCUGUAUUUGAGACAGGCCUUUAAUUGCUGUCACACAAACUGCUGCUCAGCAAAGAUCAGGAAAUACAGUCAAAGUGUUUUUAAACCAGUCUGAAUAUUAGUUCUUUAAGAAUUAGGCUCCAGAUAACAUAUAAAUUAUGAGUCAUUAAUUUGGUCUAACUCUGACAGACGGAGCAUCAGAGAGAGUUACAGCACUGGGAACACCGACACAAAACCACUUUGUCCUGUUAAAACAAUCCUCACAACUUGGAUUCAUUUUUAUGGAUGAACCUUUUGACCUGAGGACCCCGACAGACUGAAGGAAUAUGAAUAACCUACAGGGUAAUCCAGGAAUGGACACAUCAUUUGAGGUAGACAACAACCCGGGUUUAAACAUCCAAAGAACUUGUAUAAAGAAAAUGAACUGCUUGGCAACCAGACCAGGCCUCUAAUUGAGACGGGCCUUUAUUUGUCAACAUGUGUCUGGUUAAAGGGACUGGGUGUUAAACUGGGACGAGGCUUUUAAUGGAAAUUUUACAGUAAUCAGUGAAAUAAUGGAAGUGCAGUUAGGAACAAAAAUAAUCAGGGUUUAAAGGGUUUUAUUUAGUCUGUGCACUACUUCCUGGUUCUGUGGGUUCCUUUAAAAUAUAAAGUUUGGAAUCAGCUGUUCCAUCGAUGUUUUUUCUGGAUUUCUUCAGUAAUGACUCAUUUUAUUUUAUUUUUCUUAAAAAAAGAAGAAUCUGAAUCAGACUCUAAAUGUGUUAUUUGGAUUUGAAAUAGUUUUUGGCCCCAGAAGAAGAAGAAUGAAAUGAGUGGAUGUCCCCACAGUGUCUCAUGACAGGGGACAAUACUGUGUGAACAUGGACGUUGAAUUUGUCCUCCAGUCCAGACCCUGGAUCAUUGUUGAACCACAUCAGUGUGACAGGACUCAUCAGUCAGGAGGAACUCUGUAAAACCUAAAAGCAUCAAAGAGCGUUCACACAUCAAGAGUCGUCCUCUCAGACAGAAGCUUCUGUGGCAGCAGACUCCAAACUUUGACACCAUGUUUUCUUUUUCAUUUUACCUGCCGACUUUAAAUGUGCACGGCUUAAAUGUUACCUAAUGAAUGCAGAGUGACAGGAAGUCAAAAGAAGUUUCAGCUGAAAUCCUGAUGUGAAUGUGAACAUCCAAAUGUUGAUUGUUAGAAGUUUGAAGAAACUGCAAAUGAAGACUGUCGGUUAAAUUCCACCGAGACAUGUUGUUGUACCUUAUCCUUAAUAAAUUAAUUCAGUCAUUCA
Epinephelus lanceolatus (giant grouper) is the source of this 1643-nucleotide non-coding RNA. The record is from RefSeq and is a predicted model, not a curated record. Lineage: Eukaryota; Metazoa; Chordata; Actinopteri; Perciformes; Serranidae.